Molecule: long non-coding RNA, 637 nt
Organism: Monodelphis domestica (gray short-tailed opossum)
Lineage: Eukaryota; Metazoa; Chordata; Mammalia; Didelphimorphia; Didelphidae
Source: RefSeq, a predicted model, not a curated record
GCUGGAAGGCGCUUGCCAGCUCCCCAGCAAAGCUGCUGUAGAUGUUCCGGGGGAGCAGCAUCUUGGAAAGCCUUCUGGCCCCCUCACAAAGGGUCACGACAACACAGAAGAAGCAGAGGGAGACAUUCAGACCGGCCAUGUGGGGAUCGUGAGGGGCCUGGGAAGCGGAGGAGUCUCCAGAGUGUGGCACCCGCAGGAGAUCGGGCCAGGCUUCCCCACCCUCUUAAUAUAGAAGGGGCUACUAGCCAACGUGGCAAAAGCUCACAGGCAUGCAGGUCCCCCGUCAAGGAGGCUGAAGGGAAAAGUCCCAGCUGGCGCAGGUUCCCACCCAAAGCAGAGAGGUGCUCAGCGGCCGGCUGCCCAGACCAGUGUCGGUGAGUCACACAUGCUCUUCACCGUCCGCUCUUCGUGCAUUGACCCGGGGAGAUCAGAAAUGGUUGCUCCAAGCCUCCUGCGCUCAGAGCUUAGGACUCAUCACCAGCCCACACGGUCCUUUCAUUACUGGCUCCCGGGCUGUGACUCACCUGACACUUCCCGAAAUGCUGAGCGUGUUUCUGCGUAAAUACUAAUCCUCGUGAACACUCCUUUAUGGAAGGGUGUGUGUAAACCAUUCCAUAAAUUUGGUGUUGGGAGACAA